RNAcentral lists this ribosomal RNA (292 nucleotides) under uncultured bacterium. RNAcentral's name for it is "partial 16S ribosomal RNA". The record is from RNAcentral.
GGACUACCGGGGUUUCUAAUCCUGUUCGCUCCCCACGCUUUCGCGCCUCAGCGUCAGUUACAGACCAGAGAGUCGCCUUCGCCACUGGUGUUCCUCCACAUCUCUACGCAUUUCACCGCUACACGUGGAAUUCCACUCUCCUCUUCUGCACUCAAGUCUCCCAGUUUCCAAUGACCCUCCACGGUUGAGCCGUGGGCUUUCACAUCAGACUUAAGAAACCGCCUGCGCGCGCUUUACGCCCAAUAAUUCCGGACAACGCUUGCCACCUACGUAUUACCGCGGCUGCUGGCAC